GCCUCUUUUAGAGACUGGACCACAUAAUUUCUUUCUCUUAAUAUCUUUGAAGAAAGAAACUACUUUUUAUUUUAAGAUUAUAUGGGGGUAUAUCCUAUGGCCUCUCUGCUACUUUUCCUAAGAGCUAAGAUCCAAACAUAACAUGAUGUAAUGGUUCUUUUAUCCUCUGUUUUAUGUGUGUGUGUGUUUUAGUUUUCCAGUUCUCAAGAUGAGGAGGAGAUUGAUAUGGAUACGGUUCAUGAUAGCCAGGCCUUCAUUUCCCAUCAUUUAAACAUGCUUGAAAGGCCAUCAACUCCAGGGCUCUCGAAAUAUCGGCCAGCUAGCUCCCGAUCUGCUUUAAUACCCCAGCACUCAGCAGGCUGUGACAGCACACCCACCACAAAACCCCAGUGGAGUUUGGAACUUGCACGGAAGGGAACAGGUAAAGAACAAGCACCUUUGGAGAUGAGUAUGCAUCCAGUGGCAAGCACUCCACUCUCAGUCUUUACUAAGGAAUCUACAGCCUCCAAACACAGUGACCACCAUCACCACCAUCACCAUGAGCAC
RNAcentral lists this small RNA (546 nucleotides) under Pongo abelii (Sumatran orangutan). RNAcentral describes it as "retained intron". Lineage: Eukaryota; Metazoa; Chordata; Mammalia; Primates; Hominidae. The record is from RNAcentral.